CGCCCCUAACUUGCAAGGAACCUCCACCAUGCUUCACUGUUGCCUGCAGACACUCAUUAUUGUAGUGCUCUCCAGCCCUUCGGCCAACAAACUGCCUUCUGCUACAGCCAAAUAUUUCAAAUUUUGACUCAUCAGUCCAGAGCACCUGCUGCCAUUUUUCUGUACCCCAGUUCCUGUGUUUUCGUGCAUAGUUGAGUUGCUUGGCCUUGUUUCCAUGUCGGAG
Molecule: long non-coding RNA, 223 nt
Organism: Etheostoma spectabile (orangethroat darter)
Lineage: Eukaryota; Metazoa; Chordata; Actinopteri; Perciformes; Percidae
Exons: 4
Source: RefSeq, a predicted model, not a curated record